Molecule: long non-coding RNA, 1253 nt
Filed under: Macaca fascicularis (crab-eating macaque)
Lineage: Eukaryota; Metazoa; Chordata; Mammalia; Primates; Cercopithecidae
Description: lncRNA (ENSMFAG00000059659.1)
Source: RNAcentral
CUUUAGAGCAGAUUAUAAUGGAUUUAGAAUUGGAAGAUCCACAUUCAAGUCCUGGCCUUGUCCUUUACUGGCUGUGUGGCUUUGAGCAAGUCACUUAAUUGUGCCUGAGCUUCAGUUCCACAUCUAUAAAAUGAUGAUGUGGUAGGUUCCUGUCUUUCAGGGCUGCUCUGCAAUAUGGAGAUGACACAUGUAAAGAUCUUUUGUGAAAUGGUAAAGUCUCAUUAUUAUCCUGAUCCCCCCUGCCCAUUGCCUUUGAGAGCAUUAAUCACAUAUAUAUAUUUUUUUAAUCUUUUAAUUGUCAUUUUAUAGCUCCCCACCGCAGCUGCCCCCCACCCUUCCCUUCGUUGACAACACAAAGUCUGCAGGCUUCAGGGGGACCAGGGAACAAAGCUGGGGCCUGGCAGCCCCACUAUGCUGCCAGCCAGGGAGAACAAGUCACAAUUACAAAUUAUCACAACAAUUAGUGCCUGUACUUGGGGGAUCUGCAAAUUGAGGAGGCCCCAGCUCCUCAUUGUAUAGGGGUCUAUUUGGCAGUGACCUUGCUCUGGAGACGAUGAUAUUCCUUCAGCCUCACCAGUUCCUCGUUGUAGAGAGACAGUGGGGACUCCCGGCUGAGGAUGUACACCUGGCCCUUGAGGACGGACACCUGCACUUUCCCUUCCACUCGCUCCUGGGACUUGGCAAUGCAGUGGCGGACAAAUUCACACUCAGGGCUGUGCCAGAAACCGGUAUACACCAGCUCAGCAAAUUUCAAGCCCAGGCCUUGUUUGAUUUUGCGCACUUCUCGGUCCAUGGUGAAGGCCUUGAUGCCUAAAUGAGCGUGGUAAAGGAUGGUGCCUGCUGGGGUCUCGUAGAUACCUCGGGACUUCAUUCCAAUGAAGCGGUUCUCCACGAUGUCAAUACGGCCCACACUAUGCUUGCCCGCGACUUCGUUCAGGUACAUGAAGAGCUCCAAGGAGGUCUGGUGAGUGGUGCCAUCCUUGACGUUGGUCACCUUCACGGGGACCCCUUUUUUGAACUCGAUCUCGAGGAUGCACGAGGUGUCCAGGCCGCCACUGUAGGCCAGAACCACGGAGCCUUUGCUGGACAUAGUGUCUGGGAUUGGAGGCGUGAGUUCCUGGCGUCUGGAAUCUGUCUUCACGGUGCAGUGAACCACUUGGGCUUGGGCAGCGGUGGCAGGUGGCAGAGCAGGGCCUAAUCACAUAUUUUUAGUGCCUCUUUUGCAUUUAUCUUCUUAGGCAAUCUCCUGAAUG